Molecule: transfer RNA, 75 nt
Filed under: Candidatus Poribacteria bacterium
Lineage: Bacteria; Candidatus Poribacteria
Description: tRNA-Cys
Rfam family: tRNA
About the family: Transfer RNA (tRNA) molecules are approximately 80 nucleotides in length. Their secondary structure includes four short double-helical elements and three loops (D, anti-codon, and T loops). Further hydrogen bonds mediate the characteristic L-shaped molecular structure. tRNAs have two regions of fundamental functional importance: the anti-codon, which is responsible for specific mRNA codon recognition, and the 3' end, to which the tRNAs corresponding amino acid is attached (by aminoacyl-tRNA synthetases). tRNAs cope with the degeneracy of the genetic code in two manners: having more than one tRNA (with a specific anti-codon) for a particular amino acid; and 'wobble' base-pairing, i.e. permitting non-standard base-pairing at the 3rd anti-codon position.
Source: RNAcentral
GGUGGCGUAGCCAAGUGGUAAGGCCGGAGUCUGCAAAACUCCUAUUCGUCGGUUCGAUUCCGACCGCCACCUCCA